UCAGCUCAUUGCAACCUCCACCUUCUGGGCUCAAGCAAUCCUCUUACCUUAGCCUCCUGAGUAACUGAGACCACAAGCAUGCACCACCAUACCAGAAUUUGCUCUAUCCUCAACGUUGCAAAAUGUCUGGGCAUAGGCUGUGUUGCAUUUCUCACGUACAGUAUGAGCAGAGAAGCUUACCCAUUCUGUUGCAGCAGGUCCAGAGAAGUCUCACUGAAGUGCUUUGGUUUUUAUUGAAUUGCAUGCUUAUUAUGUCUGGACAAGAAGAUGUGUACAUGAAGAGGAUGUUUUGAUAGGCCUGACCUGAGAGCUGUAUGCUCACAAUAAAAGCUAGAGACACAGUCAUUUGACAUUAAAACAACUGAGAAAAGAUGAUGAAUCUUGAGAAGAAAUUGGGAUAUUAUGUACAAAAGAGGCGUUAUAAUACUUUAUGGCCAAAACGAAAACAAAAGAAAAAAAAAGCAAGAAAACAAACAAAAUCAAAAAACAAAAAAACUAGCAAUGUUCCACCAUAAAGUUUAAAUGGAUCUUACUUUGGUUCAGACUUUAGAAACGAUUGACAUCUGGGUUAUGUAUAUUUCACUUCCCACGUUCUGCACGGUAAUCUUCUAAACUUUAGCAACUUAUCUUAUUAAUUCCUUUAGGCUUGAUAUGAAGCCUGCCCCAGAUAAGUGCCUCAUAAAAGAAGAAUAAACAAAUGAAUGAAUAAAAGCAAAUGCCAUACUAUAGACUUUUGAGUAAAAAGAUUUUCUCUACAACAUAUUAAAAGAAUGAACCAGCAGAACAAACUUCAAACUUUAAAACAAUGUUGUUUAAGUUAGUCAUGUCUGAGAUGAUAAAUAAAUCAACAGGAGAAAAGUGAACUUCAAAACAUGUAUCUUUAGGAGGAUUUGAAUUGGAAAACCACUGACACUUAAUUGCUAAAGUGACUUUGACUAGUUAUUCAUCUAUGGAAUAGGAAGAAAACUUACUUGAUCGUGUUGGCAUGAUGAUUAAACAUGACUUAUGUACAUGCAAGUGCUGAGCACUAGUCUAUAACCUCUAUGGGCAUUGCGAUCACUAUGACAUAUCCAGAGACUAGCUCAAUUUCUAGUACAUUGGAGGCACUUGAUAAAUGUUUCCUUAAUUUGAAAUCUGAGAACAGGACAUUAAGCAACCUGAAGCAUCUGACAUUUGUCAUGUAGCCAAAUGCAUACUCAUUGAGCAAGAUGACUGAUGAUGAUUGGUCAUGAUGAUGACAGCAAUGAUGAUAAUGAUGACGAUAGUGAGGACGACAAACUCAUGCCUUGAUGUACUUUUUCAAGAGUUAGGUGUUUUCCUUUUAAUAUUUUUCAGAAUUUUUUUAACACAA
RNAcentral lists this long non-coding RNA (1351 nucleotides) under Homo sapiens (human). Its description in RNAcentral is "HSALNT0378325". Lineage: Eukaryota; Metazoa; Chordata; Mammalia; Primates; Hominidae. The record is from RNAcentral.